AAGUCGUAACAAGGUCUCCGUAGGUGAACCUGCGGAGGGAUCAUUAACACGUACGGAUAACAAAGUAGAGUGGUAUAUAUGUACUAUAUAUAUGUACUUGCCCUACUUUAUUAUUUAUACCAACUCGUGAACGAAACUGUAUGCCUCUCUCCUUAGCGCUGUUACUAACGUAACAUUGCUAAGCUAUGUUUUUUAUUGUUUUGUUUAUUAUACAAACCAACGUCUCAAUUGUAACUAACUAACAUAACAAUGCACACAUGUAACAAUGUGUGUGAUGCUUAUGUACCAGUUAAAAUUAACAUUUUAAGCACAACUCUUAGCAACGGAUAUCUCGGUUCUC
RNAcentral lists this unclassified non-coding RNA (340 nucleotides) under fungal sp. RNAcentral's name for it is "partial internal transcribed spacer region". The stretch from base 1 to 46 matches the Rfam family "Eukaryotic small subunit ribosomal RNA", at positions 1786 to 1831 of the family's 1831-position model. Lineage: Eukaryota; Fungi. The record is from RNAcentral.